Molecule: transfer RNA, 73 nt
Filed under: Bos taurus (domestic cattle)
Lineage: Eukaryota; Metazoa; Chordata; Mammalia; Artiodactyla; Bovidae
Also listed under: 4 other names
Rfam family: tRNA
About the family: Transfer RNA (tRNA) molecules are approximately 80 nucleotides in length.
Source: Rfam by way of RNAcentral
UCCCUAGUGGCUCAGAUGGUAAAAGCAUCUGCUCACAAUCCGGGAGACCCAGGUUCAAUCCCUGGGUAGGGAA